GCUAGGACAGUCUGACAGAGUGACAGUCAGAACAGAGUCCUGCUAGGACAGUCUGACAGAGUGACAGACAGAACAGAGACCUAAUAGGACAGUCUAACACAGUAACAGCUGGCGACAAUUUACAACAAAUAACUCAAUGAGAACAAGUGACACAGGGUGAGAUGAAAGCCCACAACUGGCAAAAUCAUCCAAUGAGAGCCCAGAACUGCAAAACGUAUCCAAUCACAACACAGCUGUGAAACACGGAGACGUGAACUCAGUCCUGUAGUAAAUGCUGGUGGUGAGUGAUUGAUUCAUUUUUACAAAUGUAAUACCCUGUGUUGAAAUACAUUACAUUCACUUCAAUGGGUUUGAAAUUCAUUUCAAUGUGUGUAUACAUUUCAUUUAUUUACAUAUACACUGAGUGUACAAAACAUUAUGAGUGUACAAAAACACCUGUUCUUUCCAUUACGUUUUACUUUUAUUUAACUAGGCAAGUCAGUUAAGAACAAAUUCUUAUUUUCAAUGACGGCCUAGGAACAGUGGGUUAACUGCCUUGUUCAGGGGCAGAACGACAGAUUUGUACCUUGUCAGCUCAGGGAUUCGAUCUUGCAACCUUUUGGUUACUAGUCCAACGCUCUAACCACUAGGCUACCUGCCACCCCUAGACUGACCAGGUGAAAGCUAUUAUCCCUUAUUGAUGUCACUUGUUAAAUCCAUUUCAAUCAGUGAAGGACAGGUUAAAGAAGGAUUUUUAAGACUUGAGACAAUUGAGACAUGGAUUGUGUAUGUGGGACAUUCAGAGGGUGAGUGGGCAAGAAAAAUGUGUCUUUGAACAGGGUAUGGUAGUAGGUGCUGGGCGCACCGUUGUGUCAAGAACUGCAACGUUGCUGGGUUUUUCACGCUCAACAGUUUCCCGUGUGUAUCAAGAAUGGUUAACCAACCAAAGGACAUCCAGCUGACUUGACACAACUGCAUCCCCGUGGAACGCUUUCAACACCUUGUAGAGUCCAUACCCCGACAAAUUGAGGCUGUUCUGAGGGCAAAAGGGUGCAAGUCAAUAUUAGGAAGGUGUUCUUAAUGUUUUGUACACUCAUUGUAUGUCAGUCAGUUUAUGACGUUGACUCCUAUUUUCUCCCCAGUUCUCUGGUGUUUUAGUCAUCACAUUUCUCCUGUUAUUUACCCAAACCUGUCAUGAAUAGGUUAGACCAGGCCUGUCAUGAAUAGGUUAGACCAGGCCUGUCAUGAAUAGGUUAGACCAGGCCUGUCAUGAAUA
RNAcentral lists this long non-coding RNA (1255 nucleotides) under Salmo salar (Atlantic salmon). RNAcentral's name for it is "lncRNA (ENSSSAG00000110365.1)". Lineage: Eukaryota; Metazoa; Chordata; Actinopteri; Salmoniformes; Salmonidae. The record is from RNAcentral.